This is an RNA transcript of Mirounga angustirostris (Northern elephant seal), 9445 nucleotides long. It is a transcript of the gene named cleavage and polyadenylation specificity factor subunit 7-like, with no coding region annotated. The transcript has 6 exons. The record is from RefSeq and is a predicted model, not a curated record. NCBI's taxonomy places the organism in Eukaryota, Metazoa, Chordata, Mammalia, Carnivora, Phocidae.
GGCUCCCCCCAGAGAAGCGUGGCGCGAGUGGAGUGCUAGGAGGCUGGGGCUUGUGGGUUCCUCCGUCCCCUCCCCUGCGCGGUGAAGGCACGCGGCCGUGGGGUCCAGGACGAGCAUCUGCAGAGGAGCGGGAUCUGGAAGGCUCGGACCAGCUCUGAAAGCCCCAGGACCUAAAGAAAAGUUAACACUCACCAUGAUGACACAGCUACUAGAACGGGGUGCGUUUGAAAACAACAACAAGAAGCAAGACACAGGUCCAGGGACGUCUCAUGCUUCAGCCUCACAGGAGAGCCCCGCGACCCCGGCACUCACCUGAGCAGAACCCAAGGAGCAGGAGGAGCAGCUGUGGCUCCAUGGGCCGUGGGCGCUGGUGUGGACUGGAGGGUAUUGCACUCUGACUGCCUAGGAAAAAAUACAUCCUUCCACCCAGUUCUUGCAUCUAGAUGGAACCAUGUGACUGGAUUCUAGAAAAUGAAAUGUGAGGAGAAAUUUUGAGACUCACAAACCUUUCAGCAGAGCGCAUCCAUGCUCUUCUAGUCUUUUCUUUUUAAAGUAUCCAGUAUCGGGCAUCUGGGUGGCUCAGUUAGUUAAGCAUCAGUCUUCGGCUCAGGUUAUGAUCUCAGGGUCCUGGGAUCGAGUCCCACAUCAGGCUCCCUGCUCAGCAGAGAGUCUGCUUCUCCUUCUCCCUCUGCCCCUGCUCCCCCUGCUUGUGCUCUCUCUCUCUCUCAAAAAAUAAAAUCUUUAUUAAAAAAAUACAGUAUCCAGUAUCAUUAAUAGAGUGUUACAUUAGUUUCAGGUGUACAAUAUAGUGAUUCAACAACUCUAUGCUUUACUCAGUGCUCAUUGCAAGUGUACUCUUUUCUUCACCCUUUUCACCCAUCCCUCCACUGAGUUCCCUCAGGUGACCACCUGUUCUCUACAGUUAAGAGCCUGUUUUUUAGAUUUGUCUCUUUUUCCUCCCCUUUGUUCAUUUGUUUUGUUUCUUAAUUACACAUAAAAGUGAAAUUGUAUGUUAUUUAUCUUUCUCUGACUGACUUAUUUCACAAUAAUGCUGCAAUAAUCGUAGGGGUGCAUGUAUCUUUUUGAAUUAGUGUUUCUGUAUUCUUUAGGUAAAUACCCAGUAGUGGAAUUAUUGGAUCAUAGGGUAGUUCUAUUUUUAACUUUUUGAGGAAACUCCAUGCGGUUUUCCAGAAUGGCUGCACCAGCUUGCAUUCCCACCAACAGUGUAAGAGGCUUCCCCUUUCUCCACAUCCUCACCAAUAUCUGUUGUUUCCUGUGUUGUUUGUGGUUCUGUUUUUUGUUUUUUAAUUUAUUUCAUUUCAUUUUAAUAUUUUAUUAUAUAUUUGCCAGAGAGAGAGAGAGAGCACGCAAGUACAAGCAGGGGGAGCAGCAGGCAGAGGGAGAAGCAGGCUCCCCGCUGAGCAAGGAGCCUGAUGUGGGACUCGAUCCCAGGACCUUGGGAUCAUGACCUGAGCUGAAAGCAGACACUUAACUGACUAAGCCACCCAGGUGCCCCUUCGUGGUUUUGAUUUGCAUUUACCUGAUGACCAGUGUUGGGCAUCUUUUCAUGUAUCUGAUGGCCAUCUAAAUGUCUUCUUUGGAGAAAUGUCUGUUCAUGUCUUCUGCCCAUUUUUUGGUUGGAUUACUUGUUUUUUUUUGGUGUUGAGUUGUGUAAGUUCUUUAUAUAUUCUGGAUACUAACUCUUUAUUGGAUAUGUCAUCUGCAAAUAUCUUCCCCCAUUCAGUGGGUUGUCUUUUAGUUUUGUUGAUUGUUUCCUUUACUGUACAGAAACUUUUUAUUUUGAUGUAGUCCCAAUAGUUUAUUUUUGCUUUUGUUUCCCUUGCCUUGGGAGACAUAUCCAGAAAAAUGUUGCUAUGGCCAGUGUCAAAAUCCUGUGCUCUCUGCUAGGAUUUUAUGGUUUCAUGUCUCACAUUUAGGUCUUUAAUUCAUUUUGAGUUUGUUUUUGUGUAUGGUGUAAGAAAGUGGCCCAGUUUCAUUCUUUGCAAGUAGCAGUUUUCCCAACAUCAGUUAUUGAAGAGACUGUCUUUUUCCCAUUGCAUGUUCUUGCCUCCUUUGUCAAAUAUUAGUUGACCAUAUAAUCAUGGUUUUUUUUCCUGGGCUCUCUAUUCCGUUCUAUUGCUUUAUGUGUCUCUUUUUGUGCCAGUACCAUACUGUUUUGAUUACUAUAGCUUUGUAGUAUAUCUUGAUAUCUGGGAUUGUGAUACCUCCAGUUUUGUUCUUCUUUUUCAAGAUUGCUUGGGUAUUCAGGAUCUUUUGUGGUUCCUACAAAUUUUAGUAUUGUUUGUUCUGUGAACAAUGCUGUUAGUAUUUUGAUAGGGAUUGCACUGAAUUUUUAGAUUGCUUUGGGUAGUAUGGACAUUUUAAUAAUAUUUGUUCUUCCAAUCCAUGAGCAUGGAAUAUCUUUCCAUUUGUUUGUGUUGUCUUCAAUUUCUUUCAUCAGUGUUUUAUAGUUUUCAGAGUAUAGGUCUUUUACCUCCUUGAUUAACUUUAUUCCUAGAUAUUUUAUUAUUUUGGUGCAAUUGUAAACGGGAUUGUUUUCUUAAUUUCUCUUUCUGCUACUUCAUUAUUAGUGUAUGGAAAUGGAAUGGAUUUCUGUAUAUUGAUUUUGUAUCCUGUGAUGUUACAGUUCUAGUAGUUUUUUGGUGGAGUCUUUAGGGUUUUCUAUACAUAAUAUCAUGUCAUCUGCAAAUAGUGAAAAUUUUACCUCUUCCUUACCAAUUUGGAUGUCUUUUAUUUCUUUUUUUUUUUGUCUGAUUGCUGUGGCUAGGACUUCUGGUACAAUGUUGAAUAAAAGUGGUAGAGUGGGGGCACCUGGGUGGCUCAGGCAAUUAAGCGUCAGACUCUCAAUUGCAACUCAAGUCUUGAUCUCAGGGUUGUGAAUUCAAGCCCCAUGUUGGGCUCCAGGAUGGGCAUGGAGCCUAUUAAAAAAAAAAAAAGUGGUGAGUGGAUAUCCUUGUCUUAUUCCUGAUCUCAGGGGAAAAACUCUCAGUUUUUCACCGUUAAGUAUGAUGUUAGCUGUGGGUUUUUCAUAAAUGGCCUUUAUUAUGUUGAGGUAUGUUCCCUCUAAACCUACUUUGUUAAGGAUUUUUAUCAGGAAUGGACAUUGUAGUUGUCAAAUGCUUUUUCUGCAUCUAUUGAAAUGAUCAUAUUGUUUAAAUCCUUUCUCUUGUCUUUUUUUUUUUUUUUUUUUUAGAUUUUAUUUUUAAGUGAUCUCUACACCAAACACAGGGCUUGAACUUACAACCCUGAGAUCAAGAGUCACAUGCUCUACCAACUGAGCCAACCAGGUGCCCCUAUUCUUUCUCUUGUUGAUGUGAUAUAUCACAUUGAUUGAUUUGCAAAUAUUGAACCACCCUUGUAUAUUGAGAAUAAAUACCACCUGAUGGUAACGAAUGAUUUUUUUUAAUGUAUUGUUGGAUUCAAUUUGCUAAUAUUUUGUGAGGAUUUUUACACCUAUGUUCAUCAGAGAUAUUGGCCUGUACUUCUCUUUUUCUGUAGUGUCUUUAUCUGGUUUUGGUGUCAGGGUAAUACUGGCCUCAUGGAAUGAUUUUGGAAGUUUCCUUUCUCUUGAAUUUUUUUGAAUAGUUUGAGAAGAAUAGAAUUCUUUAAUUUUCUUUAAAGAACAAAACUAUUUAAAUGUUUGGUAGAAGGGCUCCUUGAGUGCCUCAGUAGGUUAAGCGUCAGACUCUUGAUUUCAGCUCAGGUCAUGAUCUCAGGGUUGUGAGAUCAAGCCCUGCCUCAGGCUCUGUACUGGGGGUAGAGCCUGCUUAAGAUUCUCUGUCUCUCUCUCCCUCUGCCCCAACCACCCCCUCCAAUAAAUAAAUAAAUACAUGUUUGGUAGAAUUCACCAGUGAAGCUAUCUGGUCCUGGACUUUUGUUUCUUGGGAGUUUUUUGAUUGCUGAUUCAAUUUCAUGGCUAGUAAUCUGUCUGUUCAAAUUUUCUAUUUAUUCCUGAUUCAGUUUUGGCAGGUUAUAUGUUUCUAGGAAUUUAUUCAUUUCUUCUAGGUUGUCCAAUUUGUUGAUAUGUAAUUUUUCGUAAUAUUUUCUUAUAAUCCUUUUGUAUUUCUGUGGUAUCAGUUGUUAUUUCUCCUCUCUCAUUUCUGGUUUUGUUUACUUGGUGGACUUCCUUCCUUCCUCCUUUCCUGAUGAGUCUGUUUACAGGUUUAUCAAUUUUGUUGAUCUUUUCAAAGAACCAGUUCCUGGUUUCAUCAAUCUCUCUCUCUCUCUCUUUUUUUUUUUUUUUUUUUAGUUUCUAUUUCAUUUAUUUCUGCUCUGAUCUUAUUUCCUUCCUUCUACUGGUUUGGGGUUUUGUUUGUUCUUCUUUCUCUAGCUCCUUUAGGUGUAGGUUCAGUUGUUUAUUUGAGAUUUUUCUUGCUUCUUGAGGUUGGUUUGGAUUGCUGUAAGGUUCCCUCUUAGAAUAGCUUUUAUUGCAUCCCAAAGAUUUUGGACUGUUGUGUUUUCAUUUUUAUUUGUCUCCACAUAUUUUUUGAUUUCCUCUUAUUUCUUGGUUGACCCAUUCAUUGUUUAGUAGCAUGUUAUUUAACCUCCAUGUAUUUGUGUCCUUUGCAGAUGUUUUUCUUGUGGUUGAUUUCUAGUUUCAUAGUGUGAUGGUCAGAAAAGAUGCAUGGUAUGACUUCAAUCUUUUUGAACUUAUUAAUACUGGUUUUGUGGCCCAAGAUCUGAUUCUACUCUGGAGAAUAUUCCAUGUACACUCGAAAAGAAUGUGUGUCCCACUGUUUUAUAAUGGACUGUUCUGAAUAUAUUUGUUAAAUCCACCUGGUCCGAAGCUACUGUUUUUUUAUUUUUUAUUUUAUUUUAUUUUUUAAAGAUUUUAUUUAUUUAUUUGACAGGGAGAGACACAGUGAGAGAGGGAACACAAGCAAGGGGAGUGGGAGAGGGAGAAGCAGGAUUCCCGUGGAGCGGGGAGCCCGAUGCGCAGCUUGAUUCCAGGACCUGGGAUCAUGACCUGAGCCAAAGGCAGACGCUUAACGACUAAGCCACCCAGACGCCCCAAAGCUACUGAUUUUUUUAAUUGAUUUUCUGUCUGGAUAAUUGAUUGAUGUCUCACUGAGGUCCUCCAGUCUUUUCUCAAGUCCAGUCUGAACCAGUGCCAAGACUAGACCCAUGUAGGAUCCUGGGUUUGCAUCGGUUAUAUAAGCAAACCAGUUUCUGCUGUGAUCUGGAAGAGUCAAAACCAUGAGUGUUUUUCAGCUUCCAUUUUGUCAGCUGCUUAAGUUUCUAUUCUGAGAGGUGCUAACUGUUAAGCAUUGUUAUUCACUUGUGUUCCCUAAAUAACUUUUAAUUAGUUUUAAUUUGGACCAAGGAUGUUCUACUGUUGACAGUGACAGGAAUUAUCAAAAACUAAUAAAGAACUAAAAAAAAACUAAUAAAGAACUCACUUCAAAAAAAACUUGCACUAAUAUUACAGUAUUUUAUAAUGUCUAUCUCAGCAGACACAGCUAAUUUACAUUUUUAAAUUUCAUUUUUUGAUGAUUUUCCUCAAAGCCAUAAUCAUAUUGGUUAAAAGUUUACCUAAACAUUAUUUUUCACCUGCAAGCAUUUUUCACAAUGGAAUUUUUCUUUUAUCUUUCAGUGGAAUGAAUGCACGGGUGCAAGAAACGUAAUCAAAUUAGUAACUGUAUGGAGCCUUUGAAACUGUGUUUUGCUGGAUAGUGACUAUUACUCAGUGAAAAAUGAGCAGUAAAUCCUUUCCCCUUAAAAAUUGUCAAAGAAGGGGCACCUGAGUGGUGCAGUUGAUUAAGUGUCCGACUCUUGGUUUUGGCUCGGGUUGUGAUCUAGGGAUCUUGAGAUUGAGCCCCGAGUCCGGCUCCACACACAGCGGGGAGUCUGCUUGAGAUUCUCUUUCUCUCUCUCCCUCUGCCCAUCCCCCUGCUUGUGCACUCUCUCUCUCUCAAAUAAAUAAAUAAAUCUUUUAAAUAAAAUAAAAAUCGCCAAAGAAAAGUUUGUCAUGCCUUUCAGAAUAUCAUAAAGCAGACAAUACAAGGAAUUCAAGAAUAGUGUUGGAGUUUUUCAGUCAAACACCCCCUCUUCCCUCAGUUGUCCCCUAAUCCUUAGGGCAUGAUUCUAACAAAGACUCAAACAUCCCUUUGUCUAAAAAGUGACCCACUAUCAAAGAGCUAGUAAUCUUGGGGUCAGCCCUUUGUCUUUUCCAAAGUGAGUAAAACCUUCUGAAUCCUACAGGGUAAAAAUCUGGCAAAAGUCAAAGAGAAUUUCUGAUACAUCAAGGAAAUACGCCAUGAGGAUCCUGUACAUGACACUAAUCCAAGCAUGCUCUAGUUUAGUUCAAAAACCAGUAAAGACAUAAAUGUCUGAGCAGGUUUCUUUAGUGAAAGCAAGCCUGUGAUAUGUAAGCUAAAUCUCCAAGUGUAGUGACCAACGGGGAUCUUGUUUCCAGACUCAUUUUCAUCAUCUUCUUAAGUACUUCUUAAUUUGGUUUUGGGACCACUUAGCUAAUUACAGAUGAGCAGGAUGGGCCUUGUGUGUUACUGAACAACUGAGAGAAUUAUUUAGUAUUCUGUAGUUCAGUGACAGAGAGUCUGGAUGCGCUUGAAUAUUUAGGGAGUUUUACCUUAUCUUUUUGUUAUAGAGGCCUUACGACAACUUAAAACAUUGGUCAGCUUCAUUGUUACCUAGCUAGACUUUUAUUUUUUUAUUUUAUUUUAUUUUAUUUUAUUUUAAAGAUUUUAUUUAUUAUUUGACAGAGAAUGAGAGAGAGAGAGCACAUGAGAGGGGGGAGGGUCAGAGGGAGAAGCAGACUCCCUGCCGAGCAGGGAGCCCGAUGCGGGACUCGAUCCCGGGACUCCAGGAUCAUGACCUGAGCCGAAGGCAGUCGCUUAACCAACUGAGCCACCCAGGCGUCCCCGUAGCUAGACUUUUAAAGAUUGGCUAGCCAAGACUGAAUUUUAUUCAAGCACUAUUUUAAGGACAUUAGCCUGUUCUAUGGCCAUGAUCGGUACUAUUUAAAUUUCCAGCAUCUCUGUGUUCUGUGGGCCAACCUAUUGUGUUAGUGGUACCACCUAAUUUGUCACAAUUCUGGACACACUGGCAGACCUCAGGUGUAUCUGGAGCUCGUGGAUAGGUAUGGGCAUCUGUCUGGAACUCCAGUUUUACUUGAAGACUUGGAAGGAAAAAAAAUUAAUCAAUUUAACCAUUUAUUUAAUGUGCUGCCAAUUCUUUAUUUAAUUUGCUGUGACGCAAACAAAAUUAUGCAUUAGCUAUGUUAUGACUAAAACCCAAAUGUUGACUAAUACUUACAGUGAUAGAAUAACAACUUGUAAACCAAGAAGUGUGUUUGUUUAGCUGUCAGAAUUCCAGCCAGAAGCCAACUUGUGAUGCUAAGGAAAAAAUAGGAUGACAUUGGUCCUGGGAGGGUGAUGAGACACGACCCCACUGGGCCGCCAGGUGAGGCAGACCAAAGCCUACUGCUCCCAUCUCCUGUCUAUGUCCUCUGUGGUUGGACAGGAAUUCUAAGGACUAUUGGAGAAGGAAUAGGGAAUAGGACUGAUUCUGUUAGGAGAGAUCCUGAAAAACCUGGACCAGCUGAAUGUGGGUGGCACCAUUAAGGAAGUUUCCUCCUACCUCAGCAAAGACUGCACUGGGCAGGAGCUCUCUGAGGUACAAAGACAUCCUCCAAGAACUGUCCCCAUGACUCUACCUGACCUGGCCAUGGCACCUCCCAACUCCCAGUGCCUGAGUCUCUACCUUUAAUGAAGACCACCCUUGAGCAUCCCAUCAGUGGACCUCCUGCUUCUCCCUAGCCUGCCUACUGUGGGCAAUGCAGCCUUGCUCAGGUCCAAUCCUAGCCUGUGAGCGAGCUCCUGCCCUUGACCCUGGCCCAGGCUUCCAGUUCCUGUCUUCAUGUGGCCCACUCCCCGGACUGCAGACUGGGUCCAACCAAUGAAGAAUUUAAAGCCAGAUUUUUCUGUGAAAAUAAAUACAAAUGCAAAAUUUACGCGGGUGUCUAAGAUACAAGACCUCAGAUAUGAUGGGUGCUAUUCACGGUGCCUUUGAACAGUUCCUCAGCCCCUUUGGGAUGCAUUCAUCCUUCCCUGCCAUUAGAGUAUCUCCAGCAGACAGGUCUGAGAAGCCCCACUCUGAGAAACAUCACUAUGAGGUGAAGGAGCCCGCAUGUGAAGUCCUCCCUCAGAAUCGGAGACAGUGCUCUUCAGAAGGCACGUGGAAAUUCCAUACAGUUCCAGAUACCUGGCCUCCUAACUGAGCGCGAGGCCAUGCCUUUAUGCCCCCUUCCUAAUCCGUGCAAAAUGUCAGAGGAAUAAAACCAGUUUUGUUUCUUAAUGGGCUCAUAAAAUGUGCCAAUUUUGUACAGACUGCUUUUUUCUAUUUUUCUGUAAAGUUGUUUUCAGAAGCAUUUAAAAUUGUUUGUAGCAUUCAACUUUAUGUUGCUUGUUUUUCAUUUCCAGAAAGAUAGAGGCAGCUCUGGCUGAUGCUGGGGAAUCUGAGCUCAGAGGGCAUGAGGCAGGGUCCAGGGACCUCCCGCUUCCACAAGAUGCUUGUACUGCAGCCCCCGCGCCCUCAGCUCCAUCCCCCUCCUUGCCCGUGUAGACACAGGAGAGCCUUUCUGAGCAUGAGGCCGUCACUCUGGAAGCGUCUGAGGAGGACAGGGAGGGGCCUCCUUGUCCUGGACAAACAACAGCUGUGCCAUUACCUGGCCUUUUUCUCUCUUCUCCUGCCCCGAGGGCUCAGGGUACAUCUUGAGUGGGAAGAAAUGCACCACAAGGGGUCCCUAAUUUGAGAUCUGAUUGCAAUAGUCUGGUUCCAGCCAGGCCAGUUGUAGGUCUAAUUCAGUGAAUUCUGGAUUAAGUGAAGGAUCUGACCCUUCCCAGACAGCCCCUCGAGCUCUGCCCCUCAAACAUAAAAUUUCCCAGAGACCGAUCUUGGCAUGUGUUUCCCAGAGAAGCUGGCAAAUUUGGAGGAUUAUACUUCUGUAUCUGUUUCUACUCUGGCAGCUAAGUAGCGUGUUGGUUAGGAGGCUCUUGUGCAUUUAUUAGAACUGUCACCCUAAGAGCGUGUUUGCAGGGUCCUGGCUCUGAGGUAAACACCCCCCCACCCCCCCACCGUUCAGUUGCACAGGGCUUAUGUGUCCCUUUUGCCCUAAACCAGAGCCUUCUCUCGCACUGUAUGCAUGAGCCCUGACACCUAGCAGAUGGAAAUUCAUCCCUGAGAUGAAGAGAGAUCAUCUGCCACCUACCUCCCAGAUGGCUUAGGAAGGGCAAAGAAAGAUUCAGAGGAACUAAGCUAAGAAAGUGAGAACAAGGGAAUCCAGUUGGGUUAAUUCUAAGGGACACACCAGGGAGCUUCCUGGUAUGGCCUGAAUCACUGUAUGGGACUCGGUAUCAGGGAAAAUAACCCAUGCCUUCAAGGAGGAGAGGCUGAAGGACAAAGC